Molecule: ribosomal RNA, 447 nt
Filed under: uncultured bacterium
Lineage: Bacteria
Description: partial 16S ribosomal RNA
Rfam family: Bacterial small subunit ribosomal RNA
Source: RNAcentral
AACGAACGCUGGCGGCAGGCUUAACACAUGCAAGUCGAGCGCCCCGCAAGGGGAGCGGCAGACGGGUGAGUAACGCGUGGGAAUCUACCCAUCCCUACGGAAUAGCUCCGGGAAACUGGAAUUAAUACCGUAUACGACCGAGAGGUGAAAGAUUUAUCGGUGAUGGAUGAGCCCGCGUUGGAUUAGCUAGUUGGUGGGGUAAAGGCCUACCAAGGCGACGAUCCAUAGCUGGUCGGAGAGGACGAUCAGCCACACUGGGACUGAGACACGGCCCAGACUCCUACGGGAGGCAGCAGUGGGGAAUAUUGGACAAUGGGCGCAAGCCUGAUCCAGCCAUGCCGCGUGAGUGAUGAAGGUCUUAGGAUUGUAAAGCUCUUUCACCGGUGAAGAUAAUGACGGUAACCGGAGGAGAAGCCCCGGCUAACUUCGUGCCAGCCGCCGCCGUAA